UUUGCUUUAAUAUUUCACUUCUCUAAUCACCUCUUGUGUGUGUCCACUUUGGUUGAGAGGGUUGUCUCAAUAGUACCAAAGUGUGAGAGAAGGUUUUCGAGCUCAACUAUAAAGCUCUAGUUUGGUUUUAUAGAGUUUCCGGAAAAACUCUUAGGUCGAAUCUACCUUGAAAGAUUUCUAGGUUUUUAAGAGUUCCUUGAUACUCUAAGGUACUAACUUACCCGUAAAAGUUAGAGGUUCUUAAGAGUGCUCUUGAUACUCUAAGGUGUGAGUCUACCCGUAAAAGACUGGUUCCUAAGCGAAGUAGCUUUAAAGCUUAGAGAGGUUUUUAAGAGUUCCUUGAUACUCUAAGGUACUAACUUACCCGCAAAAGUUAGAGGUUCUUAAGAGUGCCCUUGAUACUCUAAGGUGUGAGUCUACCCGUAAAAGACGAUUCCUAAGCGAAGUAGCCUUAAAGCUUAGAGAGGUUCUUAAGAGUUUCCUUGAUACUCUAAGGUUUUGCCAUUACCUUUAGGCGAGUGAAUUCCGGCAGUUGGUCGGGACUGGACUAGCCCUUGUUUGGGUGAACCAGUAUAAAUCUCUUGUGUUGUUCUCUGUUAAUUAUAGUUUAUCUUUUAUCUAAAAACAACACUUAAUUAAAAAGAUCCCUCUUUCAGUUAUCUGGUCAAAUACAGAGGUUGACUACUUUACGCAGAUCCCUCAUCCAGUUAUCUGGUCAACCAUCUGAGGUUAUAUUCAUUGCUUUAAAUCCUUAUAUUUGUUCAAGUAUUACUUAUCAUAUAUAUCCAGUUAUCUGGUCACUUACUUGCUUAUCAAUAUAUCCAGUUAUCUUGUCAUUUACUUGCUUAUCAAUAUAUCCAGUUAUCUGAUCAUUUACUCUACCAUACAAUUUGUGUUUACAAUAUAACUUAGUAUUCAUAUACUAUAGUUGUUUAUAAAACACUAUCAAGCAAGUUGACUCAGUAUUCAUAUACUGUAGUAAGUUUCGAAGAGUAAUAAUUACAUUAUUAUAUCAAUC
Molecule: long non-coding RNA, 1018 nt
Filed under: Zostera marina
Lineage: Eukaryota; Viridiplantae; Streptophyta; Magnoliopsida; Alismatales; Zosteraceae
Description: long non-coding RNA (ZMAR_LNC000402)
Source: RNAcentral